RNAcentral lists this ribosomal RNA (563 nucleotides) under Penicillium sp. SB10552a. Its description in RNAcentral is "eukaryotic LSU rRNA". The stretch from base 195 to 347 matches the Rfam family "5.8S ribosomal RNA". The record is from RNAcentral. Lineage: Eukaryota; Fungi; Ascomycota; Eurotiomycetes; Eurotiales; Aspergillaceae.
CCUGCGGAAGGAUCAUUACCGAGUGAGGGCCCUCUGGGUCCAACCUCCCACCCGUGUUUAUUUUACCUUGUUGCUUCGGCGGGCCCGCCUUAACUGGCCGCCGGGGGGCUUACGCCCCCGGGCCCGCGCCCGCCGAAGACACCCUCGAACUCUGUCUGAAGAUUGUAGUCUGAGUGAAAAUAUAAAUUAUUUAAAACUUUCAACAACGGAUCUCUUGGUUCCGGCAUCGAUGAAGAACGCAGCGAAAUGCGAUACGUAAUGUGAAUUGCAAAUUCAGUGAAUCAUCGAGUCUUUGAACGCACAUUGCGCCCCCUGGUAUUCCGGGGGGCAUGCCUGUCCGAGCGUCAUUUCUGCCCUCAAGCACGGCUUGUGUGUUGGGCCCCGUCCUCCGAUCCCGGGGGACGGGCCCGAAAGGCAGCGGCGGCACCGCGUCCGGUCCUCGAGCGUAUGGGGCUUUGUCACCCGCUCUGUAGGCCCGGCCGGCGCUUGCCGAUCAACCCAAAUUUUUAUCCAGGUUGACCUCGGAUCAGGUAGGGAUACCCGCUGAACUUAAGCAUAUCAAU